UCUCCGCGGGCGGGAAGGGGUUAACGGAGGGGGCGUGGCUUGCGAGACGGCGCGGCGAGAACCAAUCAGCGGCCGGGGCUGUGCGCUGCGCUGCCGUCUCGCAGCCAAUUGCGCAUGCGCGUGUUCGUGCGGUAGCGCUGCCCUGUGCGUUUCUCUGGGUUUCCGGUGCGGUCCCGCAGGAGCAGCGCUGUGUCCUGGGCUGCGCACGGCAGCAGACCCAGCACUUCUUCGUGAGGCACAGGGCUGAGCUGAUCCUGUCCCUGUUCAGGUACGCACAUUGACUUCUGCCUCGCAGCUGGAACCUGAGCAGAAGAGGGAGGAGAAUGGGAAAACCCAAUCCCAAACCCAUCCCAAACAGACCCUGGAACAGAUCCCACCCAGACAGACGGACGCACAGACUGACCAGUUGGUGAAGGCGCUGCCAUCGGCCCAUGUCCAGCGCUCGUCCCCUUCUUCCCUGUGCAGCCCAAUCCAACAGUUUGCCGGGCCCUGGUACCGCAGCAUGAAUUCCUGUGAGCAAAGCCACGUGUGACUGGAGCCUGUUGGUUGGAGCACUUUCCCCCACAGCUCAGGCCCCACCUCGCUGCAAGGCGCUGCCCUUGGAGCGCUGCGAUGCUGUGCUGGGAAUGGCGUGGACAAAGACCUCCCCCUGGAGCUGCGCGGCUCAGGACAGCGCCGGGUGGGUGCAGGGAGGGGGCAGAUGAGGAUGGGACACUGUCCCUGUGCAACCUGGUGCUUUCCUGAAAGGCAUCUCCUCGUGGCUUUGGCAUGGGGCAAAAUGGGGGCACCGGGAGCAGUUGGUGCAGCCCCAGAAGUAUGGGUUUCUCACAGAGUCACAGAAUUGUAAGGCUUGGAAGGGACCUCCAGAGACCAUCGAGUCCAACCCCCCUGCUAAAGCAGGUUCCCUACAGCAGCAUGUUCCAGUGCUCAAGCCCCUGUGUUGGCACUGGCACAGGCCCCGCUCUUACCAUCUCCUCCCUGGUGUCUAUGGUGGCCAAGGAAGCUCUGAGGCGCUCGCAGUGCUCCCUGCUGCUGUUCCAGUCACUCUUCGUGUUGGAAAAACAAUGGCAUUUCCCUUGGAAACCAACCCAGGUGUUGGGGCACACAUUGGAAAUUUCUGGGCGAGGUGGGCGGUGGAGCACUGACAGGCAGAGAGUUGGGCAAAUGAGAGGCAAAGAGCAGAAAAAAUUGCAUUUUUGUUCUGAA
Long non-coding RNA from Numida meleagris (helmeted guineafowl), 1206 nucleotides. RefSeq lists it as uncharacterized. Lineage: Eukaryota; Metazoa; Chordata; Aves; Galliformes; Numididae. The transcript is spliced from 2 exons. The record is from RefSeq and is a predicted model, not a curated record.